Molecule: long non-coding RNA, 469 nt
Organism: Rhopalosiphum padi (bird cherry-oat aphid)
Lineage: Eukaryota; Metazoa; Arthropoda; Insecta; Hemiptera; Aphididae
Exons: 3
Source: RefSeq, a predicted model, not a curated record
GACCACUCCCCUCAUUAACUAACUAACCGCGGUACAAUUGCAUCCAUAUUGCAUCCUCCACAAUAAGGCCUUGCUGAGAUUAUGUCGGUAUUGCCGGUACUUACACACCAUCCGUAAUGUUCAGAUGUUUGGCGGCUGGAUGAGUGCUAAUCACGUGGUCUAUAAGCUUGCCCGUAGCUGAUUGCCCGCCUUCCAGAAGCCACAGACCCGGCACCAUGGCACCGUAGUACGGUCCCCAGACGCCAUCCACGAACACUUCUUCGUCGCUGAGCAACAUGUGACAAGUCGACGUACCUCCAAUCAUCACUACAGAGUCAUCAGCAUAAACAUAGACGUUACCUGUUUAGAAUUUUAUUAUGGAGCAUUGGAGUAGCCAGUACGAUCGUAUACAUGUAUUAGGUAAGUAUAUGUAUUUUUAUGGUAUAACACGGUGUCAAUUAUUUAUUACGCGGUAAAAAGAAAUGUGUAU